This 255-nucleotide ribosomal RNA is filed under the name uncultured bacterium. RNAcentral's name for it is "partial 16S ribosomal RNA". It matches the Rfam family "Bacterial small subunit ribosomal RNA", at positions 524 to 777 of the family's 1533-position model. The record is from RNAcentral.
UACAGGGGGUGCAAACGUUGCUCGGAAUCAUUGGGCGUAAAGCGCACGUAGGCGGUUCGUUAUGUCGGAUGUGAAAGCCCUUGGCUUAACCGAGGAAGUGCAUCCGAAACUGGCGAGCUAGAGUACGAAAAGAGGAUCGCGGAAUUCCCGGUGUAGAGGUGAAAUUCGUAGAUAUCGGGAGGAACACCGGUGGCGAAGGCGGCGAUCUGGGUCGAUACUGACGCUGAGGUGCGAAAGCGUGGGGAGCAAAGCAGG